Molecule: ribosomal RNA, 530 nt
Filed under: Gelis sp. 2 BFS-2018
Lineage: Eukaryota; Metazoa; Arthropoda; Insecta; Hymenoptera; Ichneumonidae
Description: partial 16S large subunit ribosomal RNA
Rfam family: Archaeal large subunit ribosomal RNA (bases 390-530)
Source: RNAcentral
AAACAUGGUUUUUUGAAAAUAAUUUAAAAUCAGAUCUGCUCAAUGAAAUUUUUAAAUAGCUGCGGUAUAUUGACCGUACUAAGGUAGCAUAAUCAAUAGUUUUUUAAUUGGAAGCUGGAAUGAAUGAUUAAAUGAAAUAAUUAUUGUCUCAAUUUUAUUAAUUUUAAAAUUUUUUUUUUAAUAAAAAUAUUAAAUUGAAAAUAAAAGACGAGAAGACCCUAUAGAUUUUUAUAAUUUUUUUAUAAUUUUAUUUUAAUAAAAAUUUUUAAUUUUAAUUAAAUUAUUUAGUUGGGGAAAUUUUUAAAUUUAUUAAAUUUUAAUUUUUUUUUAACAAUAAUUAUUGUUUAUUUGAUUAUAAAUUUUAUAAUUAGAGAAUAAAUUACCUUAGGGAUAACAGCGUAAUUUUUUUAGAAAGAUCAUAUUAAUAAAAAAGAUUGCGACCUCGAUGUUGAAUUAAGAUAAAAUUUUAAUGUAGAAGUUAAAAAUUUUUGGUUUGUUCAACCAUUAAAAUCUUACGUGAUCUGAGUUCA